GUAGGGAAUAUUGGGCAAUGGUCGGAAGACUGACCCAGCCAUGCCGCGUGCAGGAAGACGGCCCUCUGGGUUGUAAACUGCUUUUAUCUGGGAAGAAAAAGGCCAUGCGUGGCAAAUUGCCGGUACCAGAUGAAUAAGCACCGGCUAACUCCGUGCCAGCAGCCGCGGUAAUACGGAGGGUGCGAGCGUUGUCCGGAUUUAUUGGGUUUAAAGGGUGCGUAGGCGGCUGAUUAAGUCAGCGGUGAAAGACUUCGGCUUGACCGGAGCAGUGCCGUUGAUACUGGUUGGCUUGAGUGUCGGAGGGGUACAUGGAAUUGAUGGUGUAGCGGUGAAAUGCAUAGAUACCAUCAGGAACACCGAUAGCGAAGGCAUUGUACUGGCCGACAACUGACGCUGAUGCACGAAAGUGUGGGGAUCGAACAGGAUUAGAUACCCUUGUAGUCC
Molecule: ribosomal RNA, 444 nt
Filed under: uncultured bacterium
Lineage: Bacteria
Description: partial 16S ribosomal RNA
Rfam family: Bacterial small subunit ribosomal RNA
Source: RNAcentral